AAUUAAACUACUUCUUGA
This 18-nucleotide transfer RNA is filed under the name Melomys cervinipes (faun-footed melomys). Its description in RNAcentral is "partial transfer RNA Proline". The record is from RNAcentral. Lineage: Eukaryota; Metazoa; Chordata; Mammalia; Rodentia; Muridae.